GCAGGUAGAGCUCAGUGGUGGAGCACAUGCUUAGCGUGCACAAGGUCCUGGGUUCAAUCCCCAGUGCCUCCA
This 72-nucleotide transfer RNA is filed under the name Camelus bactrianus (Bactrian camel). It matches the Rfam family "tRNA". Rfam says of the family: Transfer RNA (tRNA) molecules are approximately 80 nucleotides in length. RNAcentral also lists the same sequence under 2 other names. The record is from Rfam by way of RNAcentral. Lineage: Eukaryota; Metazoa; Chordata; Mammalia; Artiodactyla; Camelidae.